GAGAUAUAGCUUAGUUGGUAAAGUACUUGCCUUACAAGCAGAAGGACCUGAGUUUGAUUCCCAAAACUCA
This 70-nucleotide transfer RNA is filed under the name Neotoma lepida (desert woodrat). It matches the Rfam family "tRNA". Rfam says of the family: Transfer RNA (tRNA) molecules are approximately 80 nucleotides in length. Their secondary structure includes four short double-helical elements and three loops (D, anti-codon, and T loops). Further hydrogen bonds mediate the characteristic L-shaped molecular structure. tRNAs have two regions of fundamental functional importance: the anti-codon, which is responsible for specific mRNA codon recognition, and the 3' end, to which the tRNAs corresponding amino acid is attached (by aminoacyl-tRNA synthetases). tRNAs cope with the degeneracy of the genetic code in two manners: having more than one tRNA (with a specific anti-codon) for a particular amino acid; and 'wobble' base-pairing, i.e. permitting non-standard base-pairing at the 3rd anti-codon position. Lineage: Eukaryota; Metazoa; Chordata; Mammalia; Rodentia; Cricetidae. The record is from Rfam by way of RNAcentral.